AUACGGAGGGUGCAAGCGUUACUCGGAAUCACUGGGCGUAAAGCGCGCGCAGGCGGUCUUUUAAGUUGGAUGUGAAAGCCUACGGCUCAACCGUAGAACUGCAUCCAAAACUAUUAGACUAGAGUGUGGGAGAGGAAGAUGGAAUUAGUUGUGUAGGGGUAAAAUCCGUAGAGAUAGCUAGGAAUACCAAAAGCGAAGGCAAUCUUCUGGAACACUACUGACGCUGAGGCGCGAAAGCGUGGGGAGCGAACAGGAUUAGAAACCCCAGUAGUCC
RNAcentral lists this ribosomal RNA (274 nucleotides) under uncultured bacterium. Its description in RNAcentral is "partial 16S ribosomal RNA". It matches the Rfam family "Bacterial small subunit ribosomal RNA", at positions 523 to 796 of the family's 1533-position model. The record is from RNAcentral.